Pelmatolapia mariae (spotted tilapia) is the source of this 789-nucleotide long non-coding RNA. RefSeq lists it as uncharacterized. The transcript has 4 exons. The record is from RefSeq and is a predicted model, not a curated record. Lineage: Eukaryota; Metazoa; Chordata; Actinopteri; Cichliformes; Cichlidae.
AUCAGUGAUCCUGCAGAGUCCUGUCCUCCCUGUGAUGGAGGGAGAUGACGUCACUCUGCUCUGUAAAACAAAGACCACUCCCUCCAACCUCCCAGCUGCUUUCUAUAAAGAUGGCUCCCUCAUCAGGAAGCAGCCUACAGGUCACAUGACCAUCCAGCAUGUUUCCAGGUCUGAUGAAGGCCUCUACAAGUGUGACAUCAGCGGUCAUGGAGAGUCUCCAUCCAGCUGGAUCACUGUCACAGGUGACACACUCACCUGUCUGUGUUUCUGCAGCUUUCAACAUUCACAAUGUGACGACAACUUAAUGACUGUGUUUGCUUUAUUUUAGACAAACACACCACCACACCUCCACCUACAUCUACACCCCCUCCUGAUUCCACUUCCAUCACUCUUCGUCCAUCAUCCUCUCCUGCUGUUCUCUCUGUGUUUUCAUGUGUUGGAUCAGUGUGUCUUGUGUUACUAGUUCUGCUGGUGAGACGAUCAGUUCACAGGAAACCUGAAGAGAGUGCUGAAGACCACUCAGCAGUGACAACAGAUGAGGUCACUUAUGGGCAAAUCAUCAUCAACAAGAAACAAGAAAAUUCAAAUAUGAGAGAAAGUGAUUCAGCUGCUGUCUACACAGCAAAGAGAACAGAAACCAUCAAUUAUGGAGAAAUAGCCGUCACACCAAAGAGGACCAGAGACGUAAAACCAGAGCCAGGUGUCGUCUACUCUUCACUGAAGUAGUCCACCAGUCCAACCACUGACGUCCAGCUGCUGGUCUCUAACUGGUCCCCCCAGCACCUCAGA